UUUUAACAGAAGGACAGAACAGAGAGGACAGAAGAAAUUUGCAGCGGUGUAAUUCACACAAAUCACCACAGGAGGGCGAAACACUUAUGUUUAUUUGACUCGAUCGGACUCGGUUUGCAACGGUGUGAUUCACACAAAU
Non-coding RNA from Pimephales promelas (fathead minnow), 139 nucleotides. NCBI's taxonomy places the organism in Eukaryota, Metazoa, Chordata, Actinopteri, Cypriniformes, Leuciscidae. The record is from RefSeq and is a predicted model, not a curated record.